GACCGGCGCGCAACUCUUCCGCGCAUUUCGACCCACGGUCGACGUACACAGCCACAGCGUUCACGGCGUUCAGUAACACCGUCAGUCAGUCUGAAACCGACAGUCCGCGAGCGAUUGUAGACGUCCGUACAAUGACUGACACAUUCUCAGUGAUCUCGUCCGUGCCGAAGCAAUAGACCCACGGACAGUCGCCCCGGCAACUACUGGACUCUAGAACUUUCCGUCUGUGAGAAAAGUGUCUAGUGAGGUUAUCCGUGAGUGAAUGUGUUAUAGUCUCAGUGAAAAUGCCUUUGUUCGGUGGAAAAAAGGACUCUGCGAAAAAGUCGAGGAAGGAAGGGAAAGAAGACAAGACACCCUCCGUGGAAGACAAGUACAUCCUGAAGGAAAUGCUGGGAACGGGUGCCUUUUCUGAAGUGCGACUGGCAGAAAGUCGAGAACAUCCAGGUCAGAUGUUCGCCGUCAAAAUAAUAGACAAAAAGGCCCUGAAAGGAAAAGAAGAUUCGUUGGAAAAUGAAAUCAAGGUUUUAAGGAGGUUCAGUGGUUCUGUGAGACAGUCGGGACCUCCCGGUUGUGGUGACCAGGGAAUGAUUGGAGAACCGAUGAGGCUUACCCACCCAAACAUAGUCCAGCUUCUAGAAACAUUCGAGGAUAAACACAAAGUCUACUUAAUUAUGGAAUUAGUCACUGGAGGAGAGUUGUUUGACAGAAUUGUUGAAAAAGGAUCUUACACUGAAAAGGAUGCCUCGGACCUCAUCAGACAAGUCUUAGAAGCAGUAGAUUAUAUGCAUGAGCAAGGCGUAGUUCAUAGGGAUUUAAAGCCUGAAAACCUUCUUUAUUAUAGUCCUGAUGAAGAUAGCAAAAUAAUGAUUAGCGACUUUGGACUUUCUAAAAUGGAAGACUCCGGAAUAAUGGCAACUGCUUGUGGAACUCCUGGCUAUGUUGCUCCAGAAGUAUUAGCUCAGAAGCCGUAUGGCAAAGCCGUGGAUGUUUGGAGUAUAGGAGUGAUUUCCUACAUUCUACUCUGUGGUUACCCUCCUUUCUACGAUGAAAAUGAUGCCAACCUUUUUGCACAAAUAUUGAAAGGAGAGUUUGAGUUUGAUUCGCCUUAUUGGGAUGACAUUAGUGACUCAGCAAAGGACUUUAUCCGCCAGCUCAUGUGUGUGGACGUGGACAAAAGAUUCACCUGCCGUCAAGCCCUUGCUCAUCCAUGGAUCUCUGGAAAUGCAGCAAGCAACAAGAACAUCCAUGGAACUGUAUCCGAACAGCUGAAGAAGAACUUUGCCAAGUCGCGAUGGAAGCAACUAAUGAAUGCUAUAACAAUGGUUCACAAGAUGCAGAGGCUAGCUCUGAUUAGUUCUAGUAAUAUGGAUGUUGAGGGUUCUCCUCACAAAUGCACUACUAUUGAAGAGGAAGCAGAGACCGAGUCCACAUCAGAGGUCCAGCAAGGUUUUCAGGCCACAGGAGGACGUCACACAUAAUGAAAGCACAUGACUUUUUAUCUAACUGUUUGUACAGCAACUUCUCACUUCUACUUGUUAAUGUAUUUGUCAGCUGUUCAUCUGGAAACAAACAAGCCUAUCAUGCGACCACCGUGAUACGCAAGAUGCAGCAAAUGGCGCUCAGCAGUGGCGCUGCCGGCAGUAACCCCUAGGUCUCCAGACUCUCCUACAAUUUUGUUAUUUAUUUUUAGUUCUGUAUUAGACUGUAAGUUAUUUUUAAAGCAUUUUAGAGGACGAGGUCUUGUUGAUGACGACUUUUCUUGACAACUUGUGACUUAAACGUCACAUUUAGUUUCACAAGAAAUAUUGACUAUGAGAUAAAAUGUUGAAUAAAUAAUUACUUUUGUUAGUUCAUUGACCCCUCUAAUGUUGACGAGGAAAACAAGUUUGUAUGUUUUGAAUUAUUCUCUCCUAAUUUUGACAUCUACUUCUGAGGUGGUUUCAAAAAUAUAAGAUGUUUACAAAAUAAUAAAUGAGCUUGUAAAUAAAUAGUGCAUAGCUCUUUAACAAUCUUUUUUUAAAUUGUAUUCUUAAAAAAAUAAAUUCAAUUUUAGUUCAAAUAUGGUAACCCAUUAAUUAUUAACAAAUUAAUAUCCUUUUUGUUAAAAGUUAGUUGUUUUUUUUAACUCAUGAGUUUUCAAAUUUUUCAUAUUGUAUAUGUAUUACCACAUAUACAAUACCUGCAUGCUGAUACUGUUUCAGUUACUAUCAUUGACACUAGGUUGGUUACAUGCCAACUGUAAUUACCGUAGUUACUUAGUAAUUACCUUUUUCAAGAGCAAUUUUUUGCUCUGCCUCAUAUCCCACACUGUCUUAUAGUGUGUGAACUUUUUUGUUGUUUAAGACCAAUAUUUUUAUUAUUUACAAUUUUACUCAGAAUAUUAACAAAAAAGUAUGUUCUUUUUAUAAAACGAAUGAAACUAUCAAAUUUGUCAAAUGACGACAGAACUUACGAUGGCGGUGCUAUAAAUAAAUUGAUUACCUGUUUUUUUUUUUACUAUUGCAUAUUAAUAAAAUAUUUUCCUUUGUAUCUAAAAUAAUCAAGUACAGUAUGCAGAUUACAGUGUGUUAUAGUCAAAGACAUUUGAACGCUUCAGUUUCUACUCUAAAGCUACAUACUUUUGCUAAAUCCUCCAAGAUUUUGUAUUUUUAAUUGUUUCCAAGCUCACUAACAAGAGAGAUUAUCACCCUACAAUCUGUUGAAGUCUCCUUGGACUAAUCGAGUCUUCAAACAAGCAAAUAAAUUUAAUCCACUAGUACUAGCCUGUAUUUUUUUCAUAUUUCUGACAAGCAUAUUGAAAUUAGUAAUAAAAAUUACAUAAUGUAAUUUCAUAUUCAAAUCCCAUUUAAAAUUUCUUUUCAUCUUUGGGAUGGAAACUAAAUCUUACUACGAUACGUGAAUAGGGGAAUGGAGAUGGCAAUAGAGCCAAGAGCCUUGAUUUAUCCAUACAAUAAGUGAGCUUAUGAUUUGUUUUAUCAGCUGAUCCAUGAGUCACCAAAGCUUAAUGAUUUUUAUUGGUUUUUGUCUGUUCACCUCUCAUUUAUCGUCUUUUGUGGACUAGAGUUAUGAUGUUGAUUUAUAAACUUGACAUUUUGCAUGAAUUUACUCACAUAAUAGUUAAAGUAACAGAAAAUAUAUUGGAAUUAUCAAAGAAAAUUGUUUAUAUAUUUCAUUGGAAAACUGAAUGUCCGUGUUAAUAUUUCUAAGUCGUCAUCUAGAAAUACAAUUCCUCAAAAUUUUUAUUGUACUAUAUGUAAUCAUGUAACCACAAAAUAUAUAAUAGAUCAUUUUAAAACUAUUCCUACAAAUUAUCGGAGUAGUGAUGGUUCUCAAAAUUGUUUACAGUGUACAAGUAAAAUUAUUAUAGUGUAUUAGUCAUUAUAUUCUGUCCAUAUUCACCGUCAACAUAAUCUGUAGUAAAUAAUUCCAAAUAAAGCUAAUACUUAUUUUUUUGUACAUACCGAAAUAACUUAUAAUGAUCCAAACAUGAUGUACAUGUAUUGAUUUUAAAUCAAAGUAUAUUAAAGGUUUGAAAUGUAAUUAAUCCAAAUAUUAAUACACACGUACGUACAGGUACGUGUGUAUGCAUACAUAUUUUUAUAUCGCAAUAGCUUUAAAAAUUUAGCACAUUAUUGAAGCUUUUAAAGUCUAUUUAGAAAGUUGUGUAAGGGUAGUAAUUGAAUGAUCGUUACAGACUACCCAGAGACUUCAGUGUGUUAACUGAAAGAUAAUAAACAAUAUUUGAACAGAGCUAUGACAUUUUAUUUUUUAUAAAUUUUAAUGCCGAUUCCUUUGUCUUGUUUUUUGCUAUCAUAGCAACAAGACAAAUUUAUAUGGUGUUCUACUUUGAUUUUGAAAUAAAACUUUUGGUCCAUAGUGUUUUCAGAGAUCUUGUACGAUUUAUUUGGGUUAUAAAACGUUGCCUAUCAUCUACAUUUUUGUUUGGCCAAAUGCAAAGACUUUAACAGUUUUACAAACCUUGACACUCAUGAUAGUUAGUAUGCCACAACUCAUUGAUAAAGAUUGGCCGUCCCGGAGUGUUAUACUGUUUGUUCAAAACAACUUGGUAUCUCACUUUAAAGUGGCUGAGGAUAUUGAUGAUGUAUAUAAUUUAUCCUUUUUUGUAACAUGUGAUAAGCAAAUUUGUGAGGUUUCAAUACAUAUUUUUUUACAUUUUUGAAUUAUUUCUUAAGUCCAAACAUUUGUGAAUUAAGCAAAAGACUGUGUAUUAAUUGCAUUUGUAAAUAUCUGUUUGGGUCUAUAUCUAUGUUGUAAUUGUAAUUUGUCUAUGGAUCUUUUUUAAUUGUGAUUUUCAUGAUGUUGAAAUGUUUAGUGUUCAAGUCCAAAAAGAAAUUAAACAUACCUCCUGUAUUACCAAAAACUUAAUACUCUUUCAAAACACAUCACUUUUAUUAACUUAAAGUAUAUAUAUUUAGCAUCAAAACUGUACAUCAAAACGGCCUAUGGCAACUAAUAAAUUAAAAAUUAAUUUCAUGUGAUGAUUAAAAAUGAAAAUAAUUUAAUGGGUGUUACACAUCAAUGUCCAACGGUAAUUAAACAAAAAUAAGCUCCAAAGUAGAUUGAAUCAAAUGUAUUCAGAUGGAAUCCUUACUAAAAUAAAUCAAGACUUAACUAAAUCUGUUAGAUAUUAUUUUAAAUACAAAUUUCUCAAGUAAUGAUUGUAUUGAUUGUCGUUUAAAUUAAUAUUGCAAUUGACCACAGCCAAGGUAAGUCUAUCAAAUGUUCUAAUUUUUUUUACAAAUUUACAAGGCCUAGCCAGUGUUUACAACUGAAAGUCCCAUUACAGUGAAAUUCUUAAAGUUUUGAUUCUACCCAUGAUCCUAUCUUCAAUUUCAUACUGCCUCCAGUUAUAAUACAAAAAACGAAUUCACUUCAGUAGGAAUCAAAGAAAAAAAAUAUAAAUAUACAUCGUAAUUACUGUGAACUAUUAAGUGUUUUGUUUAAACUUUGUUGUGGACAAUGUUGCUUAUAAAUGUUAUAACCAACUGUAAUCCUCUCGUAUCUUGCUACUAGGACACUUAGCAAUCUUUAAGUUGAUUAAUGUGUUUGAGCGAAAACAAAUUCUUUAGAAAAGCCGUUCAUAUCUCAUAGUUUGUAAUCGUAUCGAAGUAUCUCUCUAGGUACUACACGAUCGGUUUCUUGCGUUAGGACAUAUAAAUGCUCAUAUUUAUCUAACACUUAUAGCUUGUCUUGUAUUUAUCUGCAAAUUGUAAUUCAUAACGGUUCGAUUAGUCAAUUUGUACAUAGCUUGAUCAAUGUAAUGGUGAUGUGAUGGACUAGAAACACGCAUCAGUCUAUGUACAUAGUAGUGGUGCCCGCUUGUUAUCUCAUGUACAUAUGUACAAAUAUUCGUGUACAUAUUUCUAUCAAUGUUACAUCGUCUGAUACUAAACUCUGUUGUUGAGUCUGUUCUAUAUCCCGUUACGAGAUUUACAAUUUUAUCUACUGUUGUAUCUAUGAAAAAUGUAGUGUUUUAAAAUCUCUCGAUAUAUUUAUACCCUGUACUCCGUACGUAUUUAAAAUAUUAUAUACUAGACUCGCUCGAGUAUGUCACUUGAGUAUUCGGUUCUUUCUUUUUGGACACUGGAAUUUGUUGAACGGUGGUAACUAUGGGUUGACCAUUCCUCUUCUUCAUCGGUAUUGUUUACGUAUCUGUGUAAAUUAUGUGUUUUGGACGUUUUGCUACAUUGUUGUUAAGUGUGGUACUCUGUGAUACCAUCUGGUUAUCUUAUCUUUUGUAUGCUGAUUGUGUAACCUCUGCCAUACUUUUCUUCCUGAUAAUGUUUAACCUAUUUUUAUACACCUCUUCAAUAGUAGCUAUGUCUUAUCAAAUUUGCUAUUGUAUGGUUGACAGUUUUAAGGAGGUUGAAAAUCAGAGUAUUCUUGGUCAAAAAAUUGUUUGGUUUUGGAAAAGUGUGUGUUAUUGAGUAACUGAAUAACAAAUUCAUGAUUAUUACACAAA
RNA transcript from Macrosteles quadrilineatus (aster leafhopper), 5983 nucleotides. It is a transcript of the gene named calcium/calmodulin-dependent protein kinase type 1-like, with no coding region annotated. NCBI's taxonomy places the organism in Eukaryota, Metazoa, Arthropoda, Insecta, Hemiptera, Cicadellidae. The record is from RefSeq and is a predicted model, not a curated record. The transcript is spliced from 12 exons.